Molecule: ribosomal RNA, 492 nt
Filed under: uncultured bacterium
Lineage: Bacteria
Description: partial 16S ribosomal RNA
Rfam family: Bacterial small subunit ribosomal RNA
Source: RNAcentral
AGUGAACGCUGGCGGUAGGCCUAACACAUGCAAGUCGAACGGCAGCACAGUAAGAGCUUGCUCUUACGGGUGGCGAGUGGCGGGCGGGUGAGGAAUACAUCGGAAUCUACUCUUUCGUGGGGGAUAACGUAGGGAAACUUACGCUAAUACAGCAUACGAUCUACGGGUGAAAGCAGGGGAACUUCGGACCUUGCGCGAAUGAAUGCGCCGAUGCGGGAUUAGCUAGUUGGGGGGGUAAAGGCCAACCAAGGCGCGGAUCGGUAGCUGGUGUGAGUGGAUGGUCAGCGACAUUGGAAGUGAACCACGGUCCUGAGUCCUACGGUAGGCAGCAGUGUGGAAUAGUGGGCAGUAGGCGCAAGCCUGAUCCAGCCAGACCGCGUGGGUGAAGAAGGCCUUCGGUGUGGAAAGCCCGUUUGUUGGGAAAGAAAAGCAUCAGGUUAAGACCCCGCUGGUCUGACGGUACCCAAAGAAUAAGCACCGGCUAACUUCGUG